This 253-nucleotide ribosomal RNA is filed under the name uncultured bacterium. Its description in RNAcentral is "partial 16S ribosomal RNA". It matches the Rfam family "Bacterial small subunit ribosomal RNA", at positions 524 to 776 of the family's 1533-position model. The record is from RNAcentral.
UACGUAGGGCGCAAGCGUUGUCCGGAAUUAUUGGGCGUAAAGAGCUCGUAGGCGGCUUGUCGCGUCGGAUGUGAAAGCCCGGGGCUUAACCCCGGGUCUGCAUUCGAUACGGGCAGGCUAGAGUUCGGUAGGGGAGAUCGGAAUUCCUGGUGUAGCGGUGAAAUGCGCAGAUAUCAAGAGGAACACCUGCGGCGAAGGCGGGUUGCUGGGCUGACACUGACGCUGAGGCGCGAAAGCGUGGGGAGCGAACAGG